This 515-nucleotide ribosomal RNA is filed under the name uncultured bacterium. Its description in RNAcentral is "partial 16S ribosomal RNA". It matches the Rfam family "Bacterial small subunit ribosomal RNA", at positions 28 to 523 of the family's 1533-position model. The record is from RNAcentral.
GAUGAACGCUGGCGGCGUGCCUAAUACAUGCAAGUCGAGCGAAUGGAUUAAGAGCUUGCUCUUAUGAAGUUAGCGGCGGACGGGUGAGUAACACGUGGGUAACCUGCCCAUAAGACUGGGAUAACUCCGGGAAACCGGGGCUAAUACCGGAUAACAUUUUGAACCGCAUGGUUCGAAAUUGAACGGCGGCUUCGGCUGUCGCUGAUGGAUGGACCCGCGUCGCAUUAGCUAGUUGGUGAGGUAACGGCUCACCAAGGCAACGAUGCGUAGCCGACCUGAGAGGGUGAUCGGCCACACUGGGACUGAGACACGGCCCAGACUCCUACGGGAGGCAGCAGUAGGGAAUCUUCCGCAAUGGACGAAAGUCUGACGGAGCAACGCCGCGUGAGUGAUGAAGGCUUUCGGGUCGUAAAACUCUGUUGUUAGGGAAGAACAAGUGCUAGUUGAAUAAGCUGGCACCUUGACGGUACCUAACCAGAAAGCCACGGCUAACUACGUGCCAGCAGCCGCAGUAA